GUCUGUGCGUGGAAAACCCUAAAUUCGGGACUUGGAGCCUAUAUAAACGUCUUAAUCUCCUUCCUAGGGUUCCUUACUGCCUCUUUAGCCCUGGAUACCAAACCCUAGCCGCCAUAUCCCCUAUUUGAGCCUUGGAAGGUGCAUUAAAGCUUGGAAAAGGAAGAAGGAACUUGGAGGAGCAAGAAGGGGCUAUAGAUCUGGGAUUGUGAGUUUAUUCUGAGCACUUGGAGGUAAUAAACUAGUUCCUGGACCCUUUUUGCACCUAGAUCUAUGUGUGGUUGUUGGGGCUCUUUAGCCAUAAUGAUAUUAUUUUGAGUUAGAAGCCGGAUCUGGAGUUGCUACUUCAGAUCCAAGUGUGUUAUGGAGUGGGGAAGCAUAAAGUAUCAGCCCUUGAGUCGAUUUUGAAGCCCCUUGGCCUUAAACCCUAGUUUAUAGUGCUUUUUGCCUAGAUCUACAUCUCUACACGUAAAGUUUGCAACUUUACGUGGGGAAUAUGCUUGGGAAGGGUAUAUCUACAGUUUGGAGUCCAUGCAUGACUCAAAAGUCCUCUGCAUGUAUGUAGAUCUGAAUGAACUCGGCGAGUCCUUCGAGUGGACUCGGCGAGUAGCAUGAAGAUGAGGAGGAACUCGACGAGUGGGAUGAACGGCUCGUCGAGUCGGUUGAUGACGGGCAUGAACUCGGCGAGUUGGUGGAACAACUCGGCGAGUUGGAUGAAGAUUGCCUAGCACUCGGCGAGUCUGUUCUUGGACUCGGCGAGUCAGGUCGCGAAGCCCCAAACCCUUCGAGUUGAGACUCGAAUCAGUGAUUCGGGUGGAGACUCAGCGUGUUGGUCAGGUCAGGACUCGGUGAUCAUUGGGCUCGGCAAGUCAUGGACUGACUCGGCGAGUCAUGUCACGAAUAGAAGGACCCUGAGUAUGUGAACUCGGCGAGUCAGUAAGUGGACUCGGUGAGUAGGGUUGACCUGGAAAGGUUGACUUUGACCAGGACUUUGUCUUAGACCAGAAUUGUCUUGGUUAACUGUCGAGGGUCGAUUAUACUAAGUGUUGCAUUGAUAUUGAUAGCUCGGGAAGCUAGUAGAGCAGGAGUUCAGUGAGUGGUCGGGCAGCAGCUAGUGGGUUCAUCAGCCAGUUCAUCCAGUGCAGGUGAGUUUCCCUUUGUAUGAAUGGGUCUACGGCCACAAUGCCAGCCCAUGUAGUUAUGAAUAGAAGACCCGGGGUUAGCCCUAGGCACAAUAUGCUAGUAUGAUAUUCGGGACGAGGUCCAAUGAUAAAGGGCGGGUGCCCAAGGAAUGGUUUAUGUGAUAGUUUAUACUUGUUGUCUGUGUGAUACUUGUAUGUGCCUGGUAGGGAGGUGAGUGUGGGCGAGGUCCCGUAUCUCACCAAUAGCAGAGUGUGGAUGGUGUUCCACAUCUCAGUAGCAGCAGAGCAGGGGCGAGGCCCAAGUUAGGGAAGGAGUGAGGGUGGGCUGGGCCCGUACCUCACUAUCAGCAGGAGUAUGGACGGGGUUCCAUGACUCAUCAGUAGCAGGACAAGGGCGGGGCCCAGAGAUAGGCGAGGCCUUAGGACAAGAUCCGUUAGUAUGUGUUUAGCUUAUGUGAUGUGAUGUGAUAUGUUUAUGUGCUAUUAUAUGUUAGUGGGCGAGGCCCUGUGACAGGCGAGGCCUAAGUGAAACAGAUCUGUAUCCGAGCGGGGCUCGAAGCCAGGCGGGGCCUGGAGCGGCGGGGUCGUUGUAGCGGGCGAGGCCCGAGGUAGGGGGCGAGGCCCAGGAUAGCGGGCGUGGCCCAGUAUGUGCAGUAUGUGGUUAUGCAUGGUAUGUGGUAGGGUGGGGAACUCACUAAGCUUCGUGCUUACGGUUUUCAGUUUUGGUUUCAGGUACUUCCGGUAGCGGAGGGAAGAGCUCGGGGUGAUCGCAUGGCACACACCAUAGUUUAGACAGCCUGGGAAUGUUUACUCUGAUAACGAAUAUGUAUUUUGGAAACUAAUACUUUGUUUAUGUUUUGAAAUGAUGAAUUUGCUUAACGUAAUGUUUCAAUUAAAAGAAAUUUUUAGUCUUGAAUUUUGGGAUGUUACAAGUUGGUAUCAGAGCCUUGGUUUGAGGGAUUCGGACAUACUCUCGGGUGUGCAUGAACUCAAACUGAGGGGUCGGAUAAAAAGUUUUCAAAAGUGAAAAGAUAGUUUUGUAAAAAGAAUUUUGAGAACGAAAAAUAGUUUUAGAAAAGCAAAAAGAAUCCAGAAAGAGAAGAAUUUUGAAAAGAGAAAAAGGGGUGUGGUGCAUGCAAUCAGCCGAGCUCAAGUAAGUACCCCAAAAUACCCAUACAAGUUUACGUUAUGAUUAUCAGUUGAUAGAACAAUAUGCUAGAAUAGGACUAAGGAUCUAGGGAUGAUGCCUUAUGUGCCUGUUAUUUGUGCUUUUGAGCUGCAUGAUAGUACUGAUUAGACAGUAGUAGGAUAGCCUAUUUAGGUUAUGCCUGAGUUUAUGAGUUUGUGUUGCAUGCUAGUUCAGAUUCUUGCUAUGUGGAUAUGAUUGCUUGAGUAUGUUAUGGUUAGAUUUUCCCUUGUCCGAAUGCUGCUUGCUUUGUGCAUUGUAGGAUUCUGAGCGAUGGGAGUUAGCCAUUAGGUGGAUACAACACGCCACAUGUGAUCAGGGUUGAAUAAUCUCAGAGUGUUGGAUUUGGUCAUAUUGCGCAGCUCUUGUCUGAGUCCAACUGUUGUAGGAAUGAGUCUUUUACUUGAAGGAUUAUCUGAGCCUAGUCACAUGCGACGGUAUCCAGGUGAUGGCUAAUUGGCAUCCCAAGGAAAACUUCAGCAACUGAGGACUGGUUUGAGUUGAGUCAGAGGUUCCCCUAGGGUAAGCCUAGGAUGAGGUAGUGCUAGGAGCAGUAUUAGUGGAUAAGGGGACUGGUGGAGUCGNGUGGAGUCAAAGCAAUUCCUGAGGAAAGUACGGAUAGAUGUGGAAGGUAGUAUGGGCCCGUACUACUGAAAGCAGAGGAUCCGUACUCGAUUCGGGAAAGGCCGAGACAAGACCGGGAACCUGGUAGGGUGUGGUUGGUCUCGCAUCAGUGAUGAGUAUUCUGAUAGUGGUUGUGUUAUAUGUUUCAGCAUGGUAACGUUGUGAGAGAGACCAGCGAGCGGAUCAGGCGCCGGAGAGGGAUCGGGCUCGGGUUUAGGGACCGAGAAGCUCGAGGAGCGGAUGAGAAAGUUGAUAUCAGCUGAGGAUACGUGCAGUAUUCUAGCUCAGACUCCUGUGAUCUUUGGCACGGUCAAGGAGGGUAUAUAGGAGAUCUUGGAUGAGAGGCUGGGAGCCUUCCGUAUCGAGAUGAUGGCUUUGUUGGGAGCGCGUACCUUGACAUUUCGAGAGUUCAGGGCUUGCGGGGCACCAGAUUAUCAUGGGGCUAGGGACCCCAUUGCUAGCAGCAGAUGGUUGGCUGAUGUUGCCAAUGCUUUUCGUACGAGCAAGUGUCCCGAGGGGGACAAGGUUAGACUCGCCUCCUGUCUUCUGAAGGACAGAGCGAGGGAUUGGUGGGAGGAGAUUGGUCAUGCUUUGGGGGAUGAUGCUGCGUUGGACGCGAUGACUUGGAGCGAUUUCUCGGCCAGGUUCAGGGCGGAGUUUUCGCUGAUUAUUGAGGUGCAGCAGCUGGCACGAGAGUUUCAGGAUUUGACGCAGACUACUGAGACUGUGGCGGAGAUCACCGCCAAGUUCAGGGAGAGGGCUCUUCUUGUACCGCAGUAUGUAGCGGAUGAGGAGAUGAAGAAGGCUCGGUACCAUGAGAUGUUGNAUCCAACUGUAAGACGCUGGAAGAUAUGAUUUCUCGGGCUAGAGAAAGGGAAAUUGAUUUGGAGCAGAUCCGGACGAGGAAGCCGGAUGAGGUUCAGGUAGUUGCGGGAUCGGGCAAAAGGCCCAAGGGAUCGGAUUCGAGAUCGAGGGAUCAUCAGGACCGCAGUCGGUGCGGAAAGUGUGGCAGGGCGCACGGGGGCGCGUGCAGGAGUGGUAGCGGUGGUGAGUCUGGCUGUUUCAAGUGCGGUCGGACUGGUCAUUUCAGCAGGGAUUGUACUGUUACCGCCGCGCAGGGAUCAGACUUGAUAUGUUUUCACUGCAACCAGCGGGGCCACAAGAAGGCCCAGUGUCCCAGUUUGUUUUCGGCAGGACGGGUGAUGGCACCCGCCCCUGCAACUUUGAGGAUCACGGAUGGCCGUCAGGGCCGGGUAGAGGCACCUGCGGCAGGGAGCAGGGCUUUUCAGAUGACGACCUUGGAGACGCGAGCAACGCCGGACGUUGCAGGUAUGCAAUUUCCCAUUUUCAGUUCUUUUAUUUGUGCAUGAUUUUAUUGUUAUGGUUCUGCAUCAUUAUCGGUAAAAGUAUUUUAUUUUGAGUGGUUGAUUGUGAUCGAGUUAUAUGCCAUCUGCAUACCUUGGAUAUUUGUAUGGUAGUUAGGGGAUGUGCUCUAUUGGAGAAGGUUUUGGAGGAUGCAGUAACUGUAGCAUGCUUGGGAGGGAUUUGGUACGUCUCGCUAGUUCGGAGUGGUUAAGUGAUUGAGAUGGAUUGGUUAAAUCCCUAUCUAUGGCGGGCUUGGGUUCCUCAGUAGAUGGGUUAUGGAAUGGUAGAAAAGGUCGGGAUCUCUUUUGAGUAUUGAGUAGCAAGGGGUAAGCAGGAUCGAAGUGGGGGAGAAUCCUCCAGGUGUGCCCAGAGAGGAGCACACAGACCCAGAAUGAGUACGUGACCUCCGAGAAGGAAAAUAAGUAGUUCAACGUUCGAUGGUUUGAGGAUUCAGGGUUGGGAGUUUGAGAAACUCCCCAUCAGUUAGUGCGUGAUUGGGAAUUCAGGUUGUGGAUCGCCCGAAGGACUCGAGGGAGUCGGAGUGAGGAUCUUGAGAGCUGAUGGCACAUGGGUGCCUUUGUUUUAGCAGUCAGUGGUAGGAGGUGAUGUAAGACUACGGGGCAUCCGUAGCAUUCACUAGCAGUCAGUGGUGAAAGUGUCGUAAGACUACGGGGCAGCCGUAGCAUUCACUAUCGGUCAGCAAUGGAUGGCGAUGUAAGACUAUGGGUAAGUCUAGCAUUCCUUAGUAGUUUCGUUAGCGGAGUUGGGGCGAGGCCCUUAUCUCCUAGUGAUCAGGUAGGGAUCGGGAAUGGGUAGUGGAUGAGAAUGAUAGGGAGUUGCCUAUAUAAUGACCCGUACUGGUAAAAGCAGGGGUGAUGGAGUUGGUGGAGGAUAGGGACUUCACAGUGACAGAAGGAAUAGUUGGUUAUGGGGUUUUGCCUUGGGAAGGCAAGGAAUUGUGCAAGGAAAGAAGGGGUGAACCCCUAUAGGUUCAGUGCAGUACUCGGUGAGUACCAUGCGGAUUAUCGGUUGAGUAAGUUGUGUUUCCAGAAUGUUCAGGGUCAGGGUUGACCCGAGAUGAUUAUCCGCAAGGUUUGAUGCUAGUCAGAAUGAUCGGGCGGUAGGCCAGCGAAGGAAGGCAGCUAGUGUUGGAAUAAUUGGUUGGGUAUUGCAGGCAGAUCGCAGGCGGUGGGCCAUAGCAAACUUCGAGGACGAAGUUUAGUUAAAGUGGGGGAGAGUUGUAACACCCAAAGUUUUGAAGGCCAAGAAAGGAAAGAAAACCUUAAUGUUAAGGGGCGACUCGACGAGUCCAAGGAGGAACUUGGCGAGUCAGAGCGGGAUCUGGGUCGAGGAGUAAGUGACCGACUCGGCGAGUCGGCCAAGGUGACUCGGCGAGUCUGGUCUGUGCGUGGAAAACCCUAAAUUCGGGACUUGGAGCCUAUAUAAACAUCUUAAUCUCCUUCCUAGGGUUCCUUACUGCCUCUUUAGCCCUGGAUACCAAACCCUAGCCUCCAUAUCCCCUAUUUGAGCCUUGGAAGGUGCAUUAAAGCUUGGAAAAGGAAGAAGGAACUUGGAGGAGCAAGAAGGGGCUAUAGAUAUGGGAUUGUGAGUUCAUUCUGAGCACUUGGAGGUAAUAAACUAGUUCCUGGACUCUUUUUGCACCUAGAUCUAUGUGUGGUUGUUGGGGCUCUUUAGCCAUAAUGAUAUUAUUUUGAGUUAGAAGCCGGAUCUGGAGUUGCUACUUCAGAUCCAAGUGUGUUAUGGACUGGGGAAGCAUAAAGUAUCAGCCCUUGAGUCGAUUUUGAAGCCCCUUGGCCUUAAACCCUAGUUUAUGGUGCUUUUUUCCUAGAUCUCCAUCUCUACACAUAAAGUUUGCAACUUUAUGUGGGGAAUAUGCUUGGGAAGGGUAGAUCUACAGUUUGGAGUCCAUGCAUGACUCAAAAGUCCUCUGCAUGUAAGUAGAUCCGAAUGAACUCGGCGAGUCCCUCGAGUGGACUCGGCGAGUAGCAUGAAGAUGAGGAGGAAAUCGACCAGUGGGAUGAACGGCUCGUCGAGUCGGUUGAUGAUAGGCGUGAACUCGGCGAGUUGCAGGAACAACUCGGCGAGUUGGAUGAAGAUUGCCUAGCACUCGGCGAGUCUGUUCUUGGACUCGGCGAGUCAGGUCGCGAAGCCCCAAACCCUUCGAGUUGAGACUCGAAUCAGUGAGUCGGGUGGAGACUCAGCGAGUUGGUCAGGUCAGGACUCGGNACAUAUUAUAGUUUAUUAUUUAAUAGAUAAAAAACUUUUGACAUUAGGUAAAACCUUUUGAACUUAUUAAAAAAAAUUAUAAAAUUAAUAAAUAAUUAUAGAUAUAUUGAAAAUAAAAACAUAACAAAUUGUUAUUCGGUUUUUUUGGACUAUUUGGUUCUUAUUUUAUAAACCAAAACCAAUCCGAAAUCCAAAAUAAUAAUUCAGUUUUGUUGAAAACCAAUCCAAAAAUCCGAAUAUCUGAACCAAAUAGUCCAAUCCAAAUUGUCCAAUUGGACAAUUCGGUUUUAUCCAAAUAGAGAACAACCCUAUAUGCUAGUAUGAUAUUCGAAACGAGGUCCAAUGAUAAAGGGUGGGUGCCCAAGGAAUGGUUUAUGUGGUAUUUUAUACUUGUUGUCUGUGUGAUAGUUGUAUGUGCUUGGUAGGGAGGUGAGUGUGGGCAAGGUCCCGUAUCUCACCAAUAGCAGAGUGUGGAUGGUGUUCCACAUCUCAGUAGCAGCAGAGAAGGGGCGAGGCCCAAGUUAGGAAAGGAGUGAGGGUGGGCUGGGCCCGUAUCUCACUAUCAGCAGGAGUAUGGACGAGGUUUCAUGACUCAUCAGUAGCAGGACACGGGCGGGGCCCAGAGAUAGGCGAGGCCUUAG
RNAcentral lists this long non-coding RNA (7202 nucleotides) under Lactuca sativa (garden lettuce). RNAcentral's name for it is "long non-coding RNA (LSAT_LNC006760)". The record is from RNAcentral. Lineage: Eukaryota; Viridiplantae; Streptophyta; Magnoliopsida; Asterales; Asteraceae.